Molecule: long non-coding RNA, 436 nt
Organism: Hordeum vulgare subsp. vulgare (domesticated barley)
Lineage: Eukaryota; Viridiplantae; Streptophyta; Magnoliopsida; Poales; Poaceae
Exons: 3
Source: RefSeq, a predicted model, not a curated record
GAAGGCAAUCAAGGUUAUGCUGGAAGCUAUGGAAAUCCUAAUGCCAAUUAUGCUGCAAAUCCUUACAAUGUUGGAUACAGCAUGAAUCAAGCAAAUGCUACCGAUUCUGGUUCUCAGUAUGGAGCUGGUGCGGCGCACAGUUUCUGGGGCGCCUAUGACAUGCAAAGAGCUGCAGGACGGAGAUGACUGCCGACAUCCUCCUCCUUUUUCUUCUUAAAUCGGUCCUGUUAGCGAAGUACCAAACGCAGAUUUCUGGCACAAACUGAAUUUCUGUGCAGCGUUGAUUUAUGACUAGUCAGAUAUGCCUUGUGUAUUUGUUGACCUUUAUCUGAGUGAGUUACAUGCUCAAGCAUGUUACGGUAAUCUAGGUUACUGCAAAUUUGCAUUUUGUGUACAUGUGCUCUUUCACCUAAUGCAGUUGUCAUUACUUUGUUCA